Molecule: ribosomal RNA, 542 nt
Filed under: uncultured delta proteobacterium
Lineage: Bacteria; Deltaproteobacteria
Description: bacterial SSU rRNA
Rfam family: Bacterial small subunit ribosomal RNA
Source: RNAcentral
AGAGUUUGAUUCUGGCUCAGAAUGAACGCUGGCGGCGUGCUUAACACAUGCAAGUCGAACGAGAAAGGGAUUGCUUGCAAUCCCGAGUAGAGUGGCGCACGGGUGAGUAACACGUAGAUAAUCUGCCUUCAAGCCUGGGAUAACUAUUCGAAAGGGUAGCUAAUACCGGAUAAAGUCGAUCUACACAAGUAGAUUGAUGAAAGAUUGCCUCUUCUUGAAAGCAAUUGUUUGGAGAUGAGUUUGCGUACCAUUAGCUUGUUGGUGGGGUAAAGGCCUACCAAGGCAACGAUGGUUAGCUGGUCUGAGAGGAUGAUCAGCCACACUGGAACUGGAACACGGUCCAGACUCCUACGGGAGGCAGCAGUGAGGAAUUUUGCGCAAUGGGGGCAACCCUGACGCAGCAACGCCGCGUGAGUGAAGAAGGCCUUUGGGUCGUAAAGCUCUGUCAACAGGGAAGAAGUUACAAUUGUUUAACAGAUGGUUGUAUUGACGGUACCUGUGGAGGAAGCGCCGGCUAACUCCGUGCCAGCAGCCGCGGUAAU